Molecule: transfer RNA, 73 nt
Filed under: Halamphora calidilacuna
Lineage: Eukaryota; Bacillariophyta; Bacillariophyceae; Naviculales; Amphipleuraceae
Description: tRNA-Cys
Rfam family: tRNA
About the family: Transfer RNA (tRNA) molecules are approximately 80 nucleotides in length. Their secondary structure includes four short double-helical elements and three loops (D, anti-codon, and T loops).
Source: RNAcentral
GGCUAAAUAACAUAACUGGCAAAUGUAUUAGAUUGCAAAUCUUAGAAUAUCGGUUCAAAUCCGGUUUUAGCCU